This 588-nucleotide ribosomal RNA is filed under the name uncultured cyanobacterium. Its description in RNAcentral is "bacterial SSU rRNA". It matches the Rfam family "Bacterial small subunit ribosomal RNA", at positions 309 to 916 of the family's 1533-position model. The record is from RNAcentral. Lineage: Bacteria; Bacillati; Cyanobacteriota.
CUCUUCCCUGCCAGGUUCGAGAUUCUACGGGAGGCAGCAGUGGGGAAUUUUCCGCAAUGGGCGAAAGCCUGACGGAGCAAUACCGCGUGAGGGAUGACGGCCUAUGGGUUGUAAACCUCUUUUCUCAGGGAGGAAUUCAAUGACGUUACCUGAGGAAUAAGCAUCGGCUAACUCCGUGCCAGCAGCCGCGGUAAGACGGAGGAUGCAAGUGUUAUCCGGAAUCACUGGGCGUAAAGCGUCUGUAGGUGGCUUAACAAGUCAACUGUUAAAUCUUGAAGCUCAACUUCGAAAUCGCAGUCGAAACUGUUAGGCUAGAGUAUAGUAGGGGUAAAGGGAAUUUCCAGUGGAGCGGUGAAAUGCGUAGAGAUUGGAAAGAACACCGAUGGCGAAGGCACUUUACUGGGCUAUUACUGACACUCAGAGACGAAAGCUAGGGUAGCAAAUGGGAUUAGAUACCCCAGUAGUCCUAGCCGUAAACAAUGGAUACUAGAUGUUGGGCAGAUCGACCUGUUCAGUAUUAAAGCUAACGCGUUAAGUAUCCCGCCUGGGAAGUAUGCGCGCAAGCGUGAAACUCAAAUGAAUUGACGG